UUGUUUAUUUUAAUUUUUAAAUAUAAUCUGCUUUCGGAAAUAAAAUGGGAAUAUUGACAAAAAUUAAAAACUUUUUUUGGAGCAAUCAAGAGCCUACACCUAAAAAACGGGUAUAUCCUUCAGUUGGUAAGCAUAAAAGACGUCAAAAACCCUUAGCAUCGAAAUAUGAGAAAGAACUCAUUAAGCAGAAAAAGAUUGCAACGGAGAAAAUAAUAAAUGAUAAUGAGGAACGUUGGAAUGCCUAUGUUGAUGAGAGACGUUUUUCAAAAUUUCUUGAAAUUUUAGCUUUGAAGAAUCCUAAAUUAAAGCCAGAAGAAAUUGAAAAAGCUGGUUGGGCGGAAUGGCGUGCAUUGAGUCCUGACGAAAAAGUUCGUUAUGAUCGUGGCGGCAUGUAUUGGGAUUUAAAUAAAAUUAUAGUCAUAUCCGAAAUGGAUCUAAAGAAAAAAGUUAAACGGAAUAAAAAAAAGGGCGUUAAUAAGAAAGGUGCUAAGGGGAAGAAAAAGUGUGGGAAGAAACCGAAGCGUAAUGCGCGUAAAAAAUGAAAGUUCUGAUUAUGUAUGCUUCGAAGAGCAUUGCUAUGCAAUUAAAAUCGGAUGUGCUCUUCUACUUCUCAGAUACAUUGCAAGGGAAAAUUAAAACUAUGAGUGAAAAUUUAAUCAUACCCUGACUGUAUACUGGAUAUAUUCUGAUUGUGUCAUGCCUCUAUACUGACUAUGUCUUGAUUGUAUUCUAAUUGUGUCUUGAGUAUAUGUUGGAUUGGAUCUUUACUGUGUCCUCUUUGUAAACAUAACUACAUAACAUGUGGUGUGCUUAGCAGUUGUUUUAUUAAUACUUGAACCUAUCAUUUUAUUUAAAUAAACUACAAGAUACCAAGAAAAUGUGUUCAAAAUAUAGACUAAUAACUGGAAAAAUUGAUUGUUAAUAUCCUAACUAAAAACUUUGCUUAAAUAUAUUUUACACAAACUUAUACGAAUCUAAAAAUUAUGAGUCUUAAUAAAAA
Teleopsis dalmanni is the source of this 1000-nucleotide long non-coding RNA. RefSeq lists it as uncharacterized. NCBI's taxonomy places the organism in Eukaryota, Metazoa, Arthropoda, Insecta, Diptera, Diopsidae. The record is from RefSeq and is a predicted model, not a curated record. The transcript has 5 exons.